RNAcentral lists this transfer RNA (71 nucleotides) under Geocrinia laevis. Its description in RNAcentral is "tRNA-Gln". Lineage: Eukaryota; Metazoa; Chordata; Amphibia; Anura; Myobatrachidae. The record is from RNAcentral.
UUAAAGAGAUAGGAGUCGAACCUAUGCCUAGGAGAUCAAAACCCCUUGUAAUUCCAUUUUACCACUCUCUA